RNAcentral lists this ribosomal RNA (632 nucleotides) under Sphingomonas sp. TRS-67. Its description in RNAcentral is "bacterial SSU rRNA". It matches the Rfam family "Bacterial small subunit ribosomal RNA", at positions 112 to 778 of the family's 1533-position model. Lineage: Bacteria; Pseudomonadati; Pseudomonadota; Alphaproteobacteria; Sphingomonadales; Sphingomonadaceae. The record is from RNAcentral.
AACGCGUGGGAAUCUGCCCUUGGGUUCGGAAUAACUCAGAGAAAUUUGAGCUAAUACCGGAUGAUAGACGUAAGUCCAAAGAUUUAUCGCCCAAGGAUGAGCCCGCGUAGGAUUAGCUAGUUGGUGGGGUAAAGGCCUACCAAGGCGACGAUCCUUAGCUGGUCUGAGAGGAUGAUCAGCCACACUGGGACUGAGACACGGCCCAGACUCCUACGGGAGGCAGCAGUGGGGAAUAUUGGACAAUGGGCGAAAGCCUGAUCCAGCAAUGCCGCGUGAGUGAUGAAGGCCUUAGGGUUGUAAAGCUCUUUUACCCGGGAUGAUAAUGACAGUACCGGGAGAAUAAGCUCCGGCUAACUCCGUGCCAGCAGCCGCGGUAAUACGGAGGGAGCUAGCGUUGUUCGGAAUUACUGGGCGUAAAGCGCACGUAGGCGGCUUUGUAAGUCAGACGUGAAAGCCUGGAGCUUAACUCCAGAACUGCCUUUGAGACUGCAUCGCUUGAAUCCAGGAGAGGUGAGUGGAAUUCCGAGUGUAGAGGUGAAAUUCGUAGAUAUUCCGAAGAACACCAGUGGCGAACGCGGCUCACUGGACUGGUAUUGACGCUGAAGUGCGAGACCGUGGGGAGCAAACAGGAU